GGAUCAGUAGCUCAGUUGGUAGAGCAUCGGACUCUUAAUCCGCUGGUCCUGGGUUCAAGUCCCAGCUGAUCCACCA
This 76-nucleotide transfer RNA is filed under the name Candidatus Peregrinibacteria bacterium. RNAcentral's name for it is "tRNA-Lys". It matches the Rfam family "tRNA". From Rfam's summary of the family: Transfer RNA (tRNA) molecules are approximately 80 nucleotides in length. Lineage: Bacteria; Candidatus Peregrinibacteriota. The record is from RNAcentral.